UAUGGCCACAUCACAUUGAAACACCAGUUUCUGUAUGAUCACUGAAGUUAAGCAACAUCAAGCCUGGUCAGUACCUAGAUGGAUGAUCACCUCAGAAUACUAGGUGUUGUAAG
Molecule: non-coding RNA, 113 nt
Organism: Acanthosepion pharaonis
Lineage: Eukaryota; Metazoa; Mollusca; Cephalopoda; Sepiida; Sepiidae
Source: the annotation of a GenBank genome assembly